This 56-nucleotide transfer RNA is filed under the name Bigelowiella natans. RNAcentral describes it as "partial tRNA". The record is from RNAcentral. Lineage: Eukaryota; Cercozoa; Chlorarachniophyceae.
AUUUAAGAACAUCAAUUAUGCUCAUAUUUAAUAUUCAAAGAUCAUUUUUCGGAGGC